AGAAUAUUUCGAUUAAAGUCAGAAUAUAAUAUUUGUAAAUCUGACUCUGAAAGAGUCAGUGCCUCACCAGCCAUGAACCACACCGCACGUCACUGAUAUAGUGUAGUAUCAAUGCAAUACAAAUCAAUGAAAAGUAAAUAUAACGUCAUAAAAAAGCUUUGUUGAAUACUAUAGACACUUGCUUUGUUUUAUUCCUUCAUCUCACAAAGCUACAGAAGAUUAUGUUAUCAGAUCGCACACACACACUUCCAGCAGAAAUACAAAACAUCUUUCAUCUGCCUGACACCAAGUGAUAGCUGUACAGUGUGUAUCGUGAUGUAGCAGCAAAACAUAUGUUAUAGUCUUGUCUACUGACUUAGUUUAUCAGGUCCAACAUCAGCCCUCAGUUCUUCUUUCAAACUACUUCAACUGCCUCAGGCAAAGAUCCUCACCACCCAUUUCACAAUGUUGCUUUGAGGGCAGAUGAGUAAUUAAACAUGUAAAAGGUGGAUAACACUUCCAAUUACACUCACCUAUGAUUGAUAAUGACACUAAAUACUCUUUUGAGCACAUUUGAAAGCCAUUCUAGCAAUACAGGCACAUAUUUGACAGCUCCUACCUCCGGGAGUCACCACGCCUUUGAAGACACAGAUGUUUUCCCCUCCGUUGACCUGCUGGAGUACUUUCAGCUCAUCUUGAGUUGACCCCAACCCUGACCCCCGACGACCUUGUCCCAGGUAAGGACAGGACUGACUCAGCGUCCCUCUGAGUGAACUUAGACUCGACGCCUUCGUUGUGAUGGCUGGCAGGUAAACAUCGUCUUUACCUGUUCUGCUCGGACGGGUUGUUGCAUCAUCCAGCUUUUAAGGGUACAACAAAUGAUAAAGGGGUGAAUCCAUCUCACACCAUAUUUUGAUCUUAAUGUAAACCCUAUAACCUUCUUUAACAGCACAAAAAGCAUACUGAAAGUAAUACUUUUUUAUUAUUAAUUCACGUAAAUCGCUUUAUAUCAUGGCAUGAGGAAAUUAAAAGUAGUUAUUGCUGAUACCGUAACAUUAACUUGUUGAAAUGAAUAAUGAUAAAUAAAUGAAAUAAAUCAUAAUAGUUGAACAAAAUACAUAAAUAUAGAUAACAUGACAAUAAAAUCAAACAUCUUCGUAAUUAGAAAAGAACAAACUAACAUUUUGAAAGCAUUUGUGGUCAUAAAAACUCAUUAUCUGUGAAAAAGCUGAAAGCCUACCUUGUAGAUCUCCACAGUGUCAGGGUUCUCGAGGACGAGGAGUUUGCUCUUCGCUCUGAUCAGGCUAGCGAUGGAGUGAAUCAUUUUAGCAUCUCUCCCGGGCUGAGCUGGGAUCUGAAAGUGAAACAACCCUUAGAGAAGCUAAAAGUAAGUGAGACAUGGAUCAUAAUAAACUUGAGUCAGACACUUACAGGGGUAUCUCUGUCUCCUCUGUGGACCCCUCUAUAAAAGAGAUCCUGGAGGAGACUCUGGCUGUUUCUCCUAGUUCUUCUCAUUGAUUACUAAGGAUAAAGAAAAAGAAAAUAUAUAUUUGAACACACAGCUCUUAAAAUACACCAUUUCAUGCUUUUAAAUAUAUGAUUUGACCUAAUGCUGCCUGAGGAUGACGGUAUGAACUGCUUAGACUACUGAGUGUACAGGUGGAAAUUAAUUAUGUCUUAACACCAAUAAUUUAGUUUCCCCACUGUUAACUUACAAACCUCCUUUGUUUGCAGACAGCCUGUCAGUGACGUAUCUGUAACAUAAUCACUUCGUACACAGCAGUGUCAUCUGCUGGGCUGCAGAGGAGGCAGCCGGCAGACAGCAGACCUGGGAUCAGAAGCCCCUGUAUGCAUGAGUUAGCCUCAGAUGGUCAAAUUCCAGAAAUAUGGGACUUGUGAUGAAGAAGGCUUUGAAGUUUCUCAGAUAAUCACUUUACUGCAGUAACCAUACCCACCAUAACCUUCCUUGCACCCGUUAGUGGCUGGAAAGAGAACAACCUAUUGCAGUUUCUCCCAGAGCAUCAGCACAACAAAAAUGCGGAAAAUAAACAACAAAUAGUUGCCAUUCAGUGGGACCAAAUGUCAUUCAUAUUGCCUUUGUACAAUUUAUCACUCACCUUUUUCAUUUCCAAUAAAGUAUUCAGAACGUUCACUUAAGUAAAAGAAGUAGCCUGUGAUGCACUAAAGAUUUUACUGAAAUAAAAUUACGAAAAAAUCAGCACAAAGAUGCAUACAAAAUAUAAGGAAUGAUAAAUGAGUGUAUUUUAAUCCUUUAGUUUGACAAAUGUUAUUUAUAUUAUACCUUAAAAGUUGUGUAAAUACAUUCUCAUCCUGAAGUUAUCUGUCUGUAACAUUUUGUGGAGUAGAAAAACAUUAACAUAUUUUCUUUAAAGUUUAAAAUAGUGGAUAAUGAAAAUAUUCAAGCAAUGUAAAGAACAAUGUAUAUAAGUACCCACCACUUUAAACAUGUUUUAAAUGUUAUUUAAAACUAAAAUUAUUCUGUGACAAACAGAUAAAACUAAAAUAGCAAUUCUUAGUACUGCUGUCUGAUAAAUACCUUUUUAAUAUGGUGUUUUUUAUUUUCCCCCUAAUCACCAUUUUCCCAUCAAACCCUGACAGGACAGAGAUCUUACCUGUUGUCUUGACCGGCUAAGCAGCUGAAUGUCUCUUUCCACCAGGCGAUCUGAUACCUCCAGGCUGUUGAUCUCCUGUUCUCUGCUCUCUUCACACGGCCAGCCGCUGACACCUGAGCAGCGGACACCUUUGGCACCGAGCCCCCCGCCUGCUGACACUGUUUCCUCAUCCAUCUUUAAUCUACCCAGACUUGGACAUGUGACGUCCUUUAUGAUUAUUUUUCUCAUAAAAAGCAACAUUAAGGUUUCAUCAUUUGGUUCAUUUGAAAUAUUUUGUGUGUCACUAUCUUGACCUCAGUUUUUCUCAGGUGACUGAUGCCAGUAUUUUUGCUAGCUGAAUCAUCGUUAAGCUGUGAAAACCUCUUAUAUUUGAUCACUUCCAUGCCAAAAAGUGGGUGAUUCAUUAUGAUUGGGAAACACAAAAGACAUUUUUGAACUCAGAAUAUUGAAGUGGAAACAUGUACGUCUGGUAAUAAGAGCACUAUUUUUACUAAAUUCUAGGACUGUUCAUUUUGUUUCCCCUCACUUCCAUUGAAAACAUGUUAGGAAAGUAUAACUUCCUGACCAGUAUCUCAUGGGUGAGCAGAGCACGUUGGACCCAAGUGAAGAGAGACAAUGGUUUAAACAGAAAAUUAAAUGUAUUCAAGGUUGACUGGAUAUACAGAGUACAGACCAGAACACUUCUUAUUAAACUCAAAGAAACCACAGAAAA
Long non-coding RNA from Gymnodraco acuticeps, 3324 nucleotides. RefSeq lists it as uncharacterized. NCBI's taxonomy places the organism in Eukaryota, Metazoa, Chordata, Actinopteri, Perciformes, Bathydraconidae. The transcript is spliced from 2 exons. The record is from RefSeq and is a predicted model, not a curated record.